Molecule: ribosomal RNA, 569 nt
Filed under: Onobrychis viciifolia (common sainfoin)
Lineage: Eukaryota; Viridiplantae; Streptophyta; Magnoliopsida; Fabales; Fabaceae
Description: eukaryotic LSU rRNA
Rfam family: 5.8S ribosomal RNA (bases 197-352)
Source: RNAcentral
CGUUGGGACGGCCGUAGGUGUUUAUCUCCUCGACCUCCCCAGAAGUGGGAGGGGCUGCCGCUUUUGCUCUUUCUUUUAAAAAAAACCCAAACCCCGGCACAGAAUGUGCCAAGGAACCAAAAUUAUUCCACUGCCCCCCCGUUGGCACCGGAGACGGUGCCCUCGCGGGACGUGUGAUGCAUGAUAAUAUAUAAACGACUCUCGGCAACGGAUAUCUAGGCUCUUGCAUCGAUGAAGAACGUAGCGAAAUGCGAUACUUGGUGUGAAUUGCAGAAUCCCGUGAACCAUCGAGUUUUUGAACGCAAGUUGCGCCCAAAGCCAUUAGGUUGAGGGCACGUCUGCCUGGGCGUCACAUAUCGUUGCCCUGUGCCCCAUGCCUAUUGAUAGGCACCGUGCAGGGCGAAUGUUGGCUUCCCGUGAGCUCUUUUGCCUCACGGUUGGCUGAAAACUGAGUCCUUGGUAGGGUGUGUGCCAUGAUAGAUGGUGGUUGUGUGACCCACGAGACCGUUCAUGUGCAGCUCUACCAGAUUUGGCCUCUACGACCCACUUGCGUCCUUGGAUGCUCAUGA